UAAAGUGGGAGUUGAAAGGAUGUGAUGUCUCAGAAGAGCAAAAUAAGGUGCUUGGCCUGCUGAAUGCUUUGAACAGAAGACUGAGAAGGUCUCUCUUCACUCCUACUUCCUCUCUCCCUCUAUGCAUGUUGUAGAAAGCAGAGUUCUUUCAGCCUAGGCUUAUCAUUGAAACUAGACUAAGUUUCACCUUCUCUUCUAGGUUUGCUCCACUGUCCCUGAACACAAGUCACGAGAGCUUCCAUUUACUGGGUUUUGGUCCAUACCUGGCAGAAGGGUGCUGCAGAGAGAAGCCAUGAAGAGUCUGAACAGACCUCUCUACUCAGAGUCUCAAUCAGGGCUCUUUGAUCUGUAUUACCAGUAAUUCUGCUGGGGAGUCAAGACAGAAAGACCUGCUGAAAAUGAUCACAAAAGAGACUGAAGCUUUCUCAAAAGCUUAGAAACAAGAACAGCCUGAGUGGAUGCAGGCAGAGAUCUCCAGACCUGUCAGCAGACUGGUGCCUGUGUAAGGUCCGCUUGCAGCUGCACCACAAAAUGAGAGAAGGAGUGAUGGUGGAGCAGUUUUUUCAAUAAAACCAACUGUGUUCACAUUAUGGU
Long non-coding RNA from Fukomys damarensis (Damara mole-rat), 594 nucleotides. RefSeq lists it as uncharacterized. The record is from RefSeq and is a predicted model, not a curated record. The transcript has 3 exons. NCBI's taxonomy places the organism in Eukaryota, Metazoa, Chordata, Mammalia, Rodentia, Bathyergidae.